Molecule: unclassified non-coding RNA, 165 nt
Filed under: uncultured fungus
Lineage: Eukaryota; Fungi
Description: sequence contains ITS1, 5.8S rRNA gene
Source: RNAcentral
CCGAGUUUCAUCGACUCCCAAACCCCUGUGAACAUACCUGAACGUUGCCUCGGCGGGAGAGCCCCGGCGCCCAGCGGGCGGCCCGGAACCAGGCGCCCGCCGCAGGACCCAAACCCUUGCCUUACCGUUAGCGGCAUCUCUGAGUCUCGUGGGAAAAAUGAAUCA